Long non-coding RNA from Carya illinoinensis, 1168 nucleotides. RefSeq lists it as uncharacterized. The record is from RefSeq and is a predicted model, not a curated record. The transcript has 2 exons. NCBI's taxonomy places the organism in Eukaryota, Viridiplantae, Streptophyta, Magnoliopsida, Fagales, Juglandaceae.
UUCUAAACUAUUUAUGUCAGUUUUUUACUGUUUGGUACUGUUUGUUUAAUGUGAUGUUUUUAAAAUUUAGAAAUAAAAUAUAGUAUAUUUAAAUAAGAAAAAUUAAUAUACAGAUGAGAUGAAAAACAUCUAUCGGCAAUCCAAACCGGGCAAAGGUUCUUCACAAAAUAAAAAAAUAAAAAAAAAAAGAAAAAGAAAGAAAAGAUUGACAAAUGAAAUUGUCAUAAGGGGCAAUGUACUCAAUACUCAAUAGCAUCAUUAUUAUCUUCUUAUUUUUUUCUUUCUUUUUCAUUCUUAUUUUUUGUUGCAAAUGAUCAUUCUGUUGGCCCAAACAUUAGAAAAGAAUAACAAGCAAAGAAUGAAAAAAAAGUGUACCGCAUUCAACCUACCUACGUACUCUCCGGCACUUGUUCUUUUCCUUUGUAUUCAAGCCGUUUUUAUUUCUUCUUCUUUCUUUUUUCUCUUAGUAAUCUUCACUAGUUUGAAAUAUUAAUAUCUUUUUACAGGUACGAAGCCAUGAAUAAUUAAAUUUUUUAAUAUUUCACAAAGAUUAAUAUUUGAGAAGUUCUACACAACAUUCUACUGUAGGUCAACCUCCGCACACUAACGUAUGUGUAUUUACUUUUCUAUUUUUUUAUUCGUUUUAUGAAAUGUGCGUUUAGAAUCCUAAAUCUAUAAAUCAGUCUUGCUAUAACUUCCAUAUGGCUUCGUCGCAUAGCUUGCGGUGUUGCUUCUCACCGCUCGUCUCCUUAACAGCGCCAUCUGUGGCCACUGACAGUGGUCUAUUCUGAAAGAAGGGAUCUUCAUAGAUAAUUUGAACACUGGACAGACAAUGGAUUCUGACAUGAAACCCAGGUACACAGCAUGAGGCUCCUCAAACCCAAGUACAUUGGUGGUUAUGGAUUUUGACAUGGAUUAUUUUUGUGGUAGACGGACUGCUCCUCCCUUUUUGGUGAAGUAUCAUUGGUGGAGAUGACAUUGUUUUGUGGAGAUGACUAUUUUUAGUGCAUUUAGUCUCCAUAAACAUGUAGCUAUUGUAAAUUCCAGACGUUAUUGUUUUUGAGUAUUUCAAUAAUUUAUUGAGCAAGUUUGAUCCAGAUUUUUUGUAAUGAAACUACACUGUCAUUUAAAGAUCAAUGAUAAUAACUUUUCUGGUUUCAGUUUUCAA